This 1950-nucleotide ribosomal RNA is filed under the name human gut metagenome. RNAcentral's name for it is "bacterial LSU rRNA". It matches the Rfam family "Bacterial large subunit ribosomal RNA", at positions 3 to 1977 of the family's 2925-position model. The record is from RNAcentral.
UUAAGUUAGUAAGGGCGCACGGUGGAUGCCUUGGCACUAGGAGCCGAAGAAGGACGUGACAAACGACGAAAUGCCUCGGGGAGCUGUAAGUAAGCGACGAUCCGUGGAUGUCCGAAUGGGGGAACCCAACAGGUUGAUGCCUGUUACCCAUUUCUGUUAAGGAAAUGAGGAGGAAGACGCAGUGAACUGAAACAUCUAAGUAGCUGCAGGAAGAGAAAGCAAAAGCGAUUGCCUUAGUAGCGGCGAGCGAAGAGGCAGGAGGGCAAACCGAAGAGUUUACUCUUCGGGGUUGUAGGACUGCAAUGUGGACUCAGAAUUUAUAGAAGAAUGGCUUGGGAAAGUCAGCCAAAGAGAGUAAGAGCCUCGUAUUUUAAAUAGAUUCUGUACCUAGCAGUAUCCUGAGUACGGCGGGACACGAGAAAUCCCGUCGGAAUCUGGGAGGACCAUCUCCCAACCCUAAAUACUCCCUAGUGACCGAUAGUGAACCAGUACCGUGAGGGAAAGGUGAAAAGCACCCCGGGAGGGGAGUGAAAUAGAACCUGAAACCGUGUGCCUACAACAAGUUCGAGCCCGUUAAUGGGUGAGAGCGUGCCUUUUGUAGAAUGAACCGGCGAGUUACGUUAUGAUGCGAGGUUAAGUUGAAGAGACGGAGCCGUAGGGAAACCGAGUCUGAAUAGGGCGCUUUAGUAUCAUGACGUAGACCCGAAACCAUGUGACCUACCCAUGAGCAGGUUGAAGGUGCGGUAAAACGCACUGGAGGACCGAACCAGGGCACGUUGAAAAGUGCUUGGAUGACUUGUGGGUAGCGGAGAAAUUCCAAACGAACUUGGAGAUAGCUGGUUCUCUCCGAAAUAGCUUUAGGGCUAGCGUCGACAUAAAGAUUCUUGGAGGUAGAGCACUGUUUGGGUGAGGGGUCCAUCCCGGAUUACCAAUCUCAGAUAAACUCCGAAUGCCAAUGAAUUAUGGUCGGCAGUCAGACUGCGAGUGCUAAGAUCCGUAGUCGAAAGGGAAACAGCCCAGACCACCAGCUAAGGUCCCAAAAUAAUUGUUAAGUGGAAAAGGAUGUGGGGUUGCACAGACAACUAGGAUGUUAGCUUAGAAGCAGCUAUUCAUUCAAAGAGUGCGUAAUAGCUCACUAGUCGAGUGACCCUGCGCCGAAAAUGUACCGGGGCUAAAACAAUUUACCGAAGCUGUGGAUCCCUUAGGGGAUGGUAGGAGAGCGUUCUAUGUGUGGAGAAGGUGUACCGUGAGGAGCGCUGGAACGCAUAGAAGUGAGAAUGCCGGUAUGAGUAGCGAAAGACAGGUGAGAAUCCUGUCCACCGUAAGACUAAGGUUUCCAGGGGAAGGCUCGUCCGCCCUGGGUUAGUCGGGACCUAAGGAGAGACCGAAGGGUGUAUCCGAUGGCCAACAGGUUGAUAUUCCUGUACUAGAGUAUGAAGUGAUGGAGGGACGCAGUAGGCUAACUAAAGCAGACGAUUGGAAGAGUCUGUCUAAGCAGUGAGGCGUGGUAUGAGUCAAAUGCUUAUACCUAUAACGUUGAGCUGUGAUGGGGAGCGAAGUUUAGUAGCGAAGUUAGUGAUGUCACACUGCCAAGAAAAGCUUCUAGCGAUGUAUCAUACUCUACCCGUACCGCAAACCGACACAGGUAGUCGAGGCGAGUAGCCUCAGGUGAGCGAGAGAACUCUCGUUAAGGAACUCGGCAAAAUGACCCCGUAACUUCGGGAGAAGGGGUGCUGAUUUAGGUCAGCCGCAGUGAAUAGGCCCAAGCAACUGUUUAUCAAAAACACAGCUCUCUGCUAAAUCGUAAGAUGAUGUAUAGGGGGUGACGCCUGCCCGGUGCUGGAAGGUUAAGAGGAGUGCUUAGCGGUAACGCGAAGGUAUGAAUUGAAGCCCCAGUAAACGGCGGCCGUAACUAUAACGGUCCUAAGGUAGCGAAAUUCCUUGUCGGGU